RNAcentral lists this ribosomal RNA (495 nucleotides) under uncultured bacterium. RNAcentral describes it as "partial 16S ribosomal RNA". It matches the Rfam family "Bacterial small subunit ribosomal RNA", at positions 28 to 507 of the family's 1533-position model. The record is from RNAcentral.
GACGAACGCUGGCGGCGUGCCUAAUACAUGCAAGUAGAACGCUGAAGGAGGAGCUUGCUCUUCUGGAUGAGUUGCGAACGGGUGAGUAACGCGUAGGUAACCUGCCUGGUAGCGGGGGAUAACUAUUGGAAACGAUAGCUAAUACCGCAUAAGAGUAGAUGUUGCAUGACAUUUACUUAAAAGGUGCAAUUGCAUCACUACCAGAUGGACCUGCGUUGUAUUAGCUAGUUGGUGGGGUAACGGCUUACCAAGGCGACGAUACAUAGCCGACCUGAGAGGGUGAUCGGCCACACUGGGACUGAGACACGGCCCAGACUCCUACGGGAGGCAGCAGUAGGGAAUCUUCGGCAAUGGACGGAAGUCUGACCGAGCAACGCCGCGUGAGUGAAGAAGGUUUUCGGAUCGUAAAGCUCUGUUGUAAGAGAAGAACGAGUGUGAGAGUGGAAAGUUCACACUGUGACGGCAUCUUACCAGAAAGAGACGGCUAACUACGUG